Molecule: ribosomal RNA, 441 nt
Filed under: uncultured bacterium
Lineage: Bacteria
Description: partial 16S ribosomal RNA
Rfam family: Bacterial small subunit ribosomal RNA
Source: RNAcentral
GAUGAACGCUGGCGGCGUGCCUAAUACAUGCAAGUCGAACGGGGAGUAGCAAUACUCUUAGUGGCGAACGGGUGAGUAACGCGUUGGUACCUGCCCCGAAGCGGGGGAUAACGGACCGAAAGGUCCGCUAAUACCCCAUGUGCUCGGUAACGAGUAAAGGUGAAAACCACUUGGGGAGGGGCCUGCGUCCCAUCAGCUAGUUGGUAAGGUAACGGCUUACCAAGGCGAUGACGGGUAGGGGACCUGAGAGGGUGGCCCCCCACAAUGGAACUGAAACACGGUCCAUACACCUACGGGUGGCAGAAGUAGGGAAUAUUGGUAAUGGGCGCAAGCCUGAACCAGCAACGCCGCGUGUGCGAUGACGGCCUUCGGGUUGUAAAGCACUUUUGACUGGGACGAGGAAGGACGGUACCGGUCGAAUCAGCCUCGGCUAACUACGUG